GAGUUUGAUCGUGGCUCAGAUUGAACGCUGGCGGCAUGCCUUACACAUGCAAGUCGAACGGUAACAGGUCUUUCGGGAUGCUGACGAGUGGCGAACGGGUGAGUAAUACAUCGGAACGUGCCUAGUAGUGGGGGAUAACUACUCGAAAGAGUGGCUAAUACCGCAUGAGAUCUAUGGAUGAAAGCAGGGGACCUUCGGGCCUUGUGCUACUAGAGCGGCCGAUGGCAGAUUAGGUAGUUGGUGGGAUAAAAGCUUACCAAGCCUACGAUCUGUAGCUGGUCUGAGAGGACGAUCAGCCACACUGGGACUGAGACACGGCCCAGACUCCUACGGGAGGCAGCAGUGGGGAAUUUUGGACAAUGGGCGCAAGCCUGAUCCAGCAAUGCCGCGUGCAGGAUGAAGG
This 403-nucleotide ribosomal RNA is filed under the name uncultured beta proteobacterium. RNAcentral describes it as "bacterial SSU rRNA". It matches the Rfam family "Bacterial small subunit ribosomal RNA", at positions 9 to 414 of the family's 1533-position model. The record is from RNAcentral. Lineage: Bacteria; Pseudomonadati; Pseudomonadota; Betaproteobacteria.